GCCCGGUUAGCUCAAUCGGUAGAGCGUGAGACUCUUAAUCUCAAGGUUGCGGGUUAGUGACUUCUUUCAAGCA
This 73-nucleotide transfer RNA is filed under the name Grosmannia clavigera kw1407. It matches the Rfam family "tRNA". Rfam says of the family: Transfer RNA (tRNA) molecules are approximately 80 nucleotides in length. Their secondary structure includes four short double-helical elements and three loops (D, anti-codon, and T loops). Lineage: Eukaryota; Fungi; Ascomycota; Sordariomycetes; Ophiostomatales; Ophiostomataceae. The record is from Rfam by way of RNAcentral.